Molecule: long non-coding RNA, 1889 nt
Organism: Gadus chalcogrammus (walleye pollock)
Lineage: Eukaryota; Metazoa; Chordata; Actinopteri; Gadiformes; Gadidae
Exons: 3
Source: RefSeq, a predicted model, not a curated record
UUUUAUUUUGAAGUUUCGAUCGUGACUUCAUUUUCUUCCGUUGCGCUCGCCAUUCCUCACUUGUUGUUUUAAUGCUGUGAGGAGGUGAGUGUUUUUCCUCUGCUCUGUGCAGCUUUCUGUUCUAAAAUUGUUCAUGAGAAAAUAACCAGUGUAAACGGUGAGAUUAUGUUAUGGUGUGAUUCUGUGCUUGUUGGUGUUGUUCAUGUGUUCCUGUGUAUUUGUUUUGCAAGAGUUUUGAGUGUUUUAGCGAACUAUUUAGCUAGCGCACUGUUUAGCAGCACUUGAGGAUACACACACAGUGACGGCAGCCUGUUCAUUGUUCGUUUCCCGCCAUUUCAGAUUGACGUGCUGCAGUGUCCUGUGUACUAAUGCUGCUGCAUUAUUUGUGCAUUUAUUUCAUUCAGGUAUGUUAAUGUUGCUCCCAUGUUGUACUUUAUUUUAAUAUAAAAUAUUAAUUAGCUGGUGGUGUAUAGUUUUCAGGUGGAUUUGAAUUUGUGUGUCUGUAUUGUGAACUUUUGUGACUUCAUAUAUUUGAAUAUAUGUAUUGUAAGGCACUUCUGGCCAGGCUGACUUGUUGUUUUAAUGCUGUGAGGAGAUUGACGUGCUGCAGUGUCCUGUGUACUAAUGCUGCUGCAUUAUUUGUGCAUUUAUUUCAUUCAGAAAUAAAUACGCCACUGUCGCUACAGUUCGGCCAAAGUGACACACCAAGUCCCUGUGUCCUACUCCAUUUCACAACACACAACGCAGAGCCAGACCGGUUACAUUGGUGCCGUGACCCGGAUUGAUGUCGUGGACCAACACCAGCUUGGUCACCGGAGGUUGUUGGACGACAGAACAAUGACGAACGAAAAAAAAGAUUGACGUGCUGCAGUGUCCUGUGUACUAAUGCUGCUGCAUUAUUUGUGCAUUUAUUUCAUUCAGGUAUGUUAAUGUUGCUCCCAUGUUGUACUUUAUUUUAAUAUAAAAUAUUAAUUAGCUGGUGGUGUAUAGUUUUCAGGUGGAUUUGAAUUUGUGUGUCUGUAUUGUGAACUUUUGUGACUUCAUAUAUUUGAAUAUAUGUAUUGUAAGGCACUUCUGGCCAGGCUGACUUGUUGUUUUAAUGCUGUGAGGAGAUUGACGUGCUGCAGUGUCCUGUGUACUAAUGCUGCUGCAUUAUUUGUGCAUUUAUUUCAUUCAGAAAUAAAUACGCCACUGUCGCUACAGUUCGGCCAAAGUGACACACCAAGUCCCUGUGUCCUACUCCAUUUCACAACACACAACGCAGAGCCAGACCGGUUACAUUAGCAAAUCGAAAAAAUGCAGAGGCCCGGCAGACUGGAGGGGGUCCACCACCUGCAGCCCUCACAGAGGCUGAGGAGAUGGCCCUCAGCCAACAGAGUAUGCGUCCUGUGGCUGAGGGCAUCCCUGGGGGGAGCUCCUCUGAUCGCCCCCACCCCCCAGGAUAGAAGUGCCUUUACAGUAUAAGAGUUACUGAUGGCGUCAUCGCCCUACUUGAACCAGAUGCCCUCACCAACCUCCAUGCAAUUGUAACAAUUCAAAAGAUGCAAAAGGAUGCUUUGGAGAUCCAAAUUUCGGAACAUAAGUUAUAGGUGGGUGAGGUGCAAACUGGGAUAGGCUACUGUUCCCUGCUCUAAAAACAUACCCAAUAUAAAUGACUUUUUUUUUUUUGUGCUUUCAGGAAAUAAAAUAAUCCUCAUAAUAAGUAGAUUGUCUUUAUUAGAACACGGGCUGUGGUGGGACAAGUUAUUUUGUUGAACAGUUUACUCAAAGGGUUUUACUUCAGUGAACAAUGCAGACGAUUAUGCUGAGCAUGUGCAUGUAGAGAAGAACAGCAUCUGGUUAAAAGCAGUACCAGGGUCUUUUCUGCCUUGCAUUCUUAAAAUGAGUUU